CUAAAUGAAUGUUUACCAAAACAAAAACAAGUUUUUACAAUGUUGUAACACCAUGUAUAGGUGCAAACACCUGCCAAGUGCUGAAAGGUCAAGGAAGUUAGAGACCUAAUGACCUUGAUGUAGGUGAUUGAAGGACGUGAAGGAUGACCGUAACUACAACGGUCUAAGGUAGCACAAUUUCUAGUCAGUUAUGUUUCGAGCAUGAAGCAAUCACUUGG
RNAcentral lists this ribosomal RNA (218 nucleotides) under Olea europaea subsp. europaea. RNAcentral describes it as "LSU_rRNA_bacteria". Lineage: Eukaryota; Viridiplantae; Streptophyta; Magnoliopsida; Lamiales; Oleaceae. The record is from RNAcentral.